UAAGCGACUAAGCGUACACGGUGGAUGCCCUGGCAGUCAGAGGCGAUGAAGGACGUGCUAAUCUGCGAUAAGCGUCGGUGAGGUGAUAUGAACCGUUAUAACCGGCGAUUUCCGAAUGGGGAAACCCAGUGUGUUUCGACACACUAUCAUUAACUGAAUCCAUAGGUUAAUGAGGCGAACCGGGGGAACUGAAACAUCUAAGUACCCCGAGGAAAAGAAAUCAACCGAGAUUCCCCCAGUAGCGGCGAGCGAACGGGGAGGAGCCCAGAGCCUGAAUCAGUGUGUGUGUUAGUGGAAGCGUCUGGAAAGGCGCGCGAUACAGGGUGACAGCCCCGUACACAAAAAUGCACAUAUUGUGAGCUCGAUGAGUAGGGCGGGACACGUGGUAUCCUGUCUGAAUAUGGGGGGACCAUCCUCCAAGGCUAAAUACUCCUGACUGACCGAUAGUGAACCAGUACCGUGAGGGAAAGGCGAAAAGAACCCCGGCGAGGGGAGUGAAAAAGAACCUGAAACCGUGUACGUACAAGCAGUGGGAGCCUCUUUAUGGGGUGACUGCGUACCUUUUGUAUAAUGGGUCAGCGACUUAUAUUCUGUAGCAAGGUUAACCGAAUAGGGGAGCCGAAGGGAAACCGAGUCUUAACUGGGCGUUAAGUUGCAGGGUAUAGACCCGAAACCCGGUGAUCUAGCCAUGGGCAGGUUGAAGGUUGGGUAACACUAACUGGAGGACCGAACCGACUAAUGUUGAAAAAUUAGCGGAUGACUUGUGGCUGGGGGUGAAAGGCCAAUCAAACCGGGAGAUAGCUGGUUCUCCCCGAAAGCUAUUUAGGUAGCGCCUCGUGAAUUCAUCUCCGGGGGUAGAGCACUGUUUCGGCAAGGGGGUCAUCCCGACUUACCAACCCGAUGCAAACUGCGAAUACCGGAGAAUGUUAUCACGGGAGACACACGGCGGGUGCUAACGUCCGUCGUGAAGAGGGAAACAACCCAGACCGCCAGCUAAGGUCCCAAAGUCAUGGUUAAGUGGGAAACGAUGUGGGAAGGCCCAGACAGCCAGGAUGUUGGCUUAGAAGCAGCCAUCAUUUAAAGAAAGCGUAAUAGCUCACUGGUCGAGUCGGCCUGCGCGGAAGAUGUAACGGGGCUAAACCAUGCACCGAAGCUGCGGCAGCGACACUAUGUGUUGUUGGGUAGGGGAGCGUUCUGUAAGCCUGUGAAGGUGGCCUGUGAGGGUUGCUGGAGGUAUCAGAAGUGCGAAUGCUGACAUAAGUAACGAUAAAGCGGGUGAAAAGCCCGCUCGCCGGAAGACCAAGGGUUCCUGUCCAACGUUAAUCGGGGCAGGGUGAGUCGACCCCUAAGGCGAGGCCGAAAGGCGUAGUCGAUGGGAAACAGGUUAAUAUUCCUGUACUUGGUGUUACUGCGAAGGGGGGACGGAGAAGGCUAUGUUGGCCGGGCGACGGUUGUCCCGGUUUAAGCGUGUAGGCUGGUUUUCCAGGCAAAUCCGGAAAACCAAGGCUGAGGCGUGAUGACGAGGCACUACGGUGCUGAAGCGACAAAUGCCCUGCUUCCAGGAAAAGCCUCUAAGCAUCAGGUAACAUCAAAUCGUACCCCAAACCGACACAGGUGGUCAGGUAGAGAAUACCAAGGCGCUUGAGAGAACUCGGGUGAAGGAACUAGGCAAAAUGGUGCCGUAACUUCGGGAGAAGGCACGCUGAUAUGUAGGUGAAGCGACUUGCUCGUGGAGCUGAAAUCAGUCGAAGAUACCAGCUGGCUGCAACUGUUUAUUAAAAACACAGCACUGUGCAAACACGAAAGUGGACGUAUACGGUGUGACGCCUGCCCGGUGCCGGAAGGUUAAUUGAUGGGGUUAGCGGUAACGCGAAGCUCUUGAUCGAAGCCCCGGUAAACGGCGGCCGUAACUAUAACGGUCCUAAGGUAGCGAAAUUCCUUGUCGGGUAAGUUCCGACCUGCACGAAUGGCGUAAUGAUGGCCAGGCUGUCUCCACCCGAGACUCAGUGAAAUUGAACUCGCUGUGAAGAUGCAGUGUACCCGCGGCAAGACGGAAAGACCCCGUGAACCUUUACUAUAGCUUGACACUGAACAUUGAGCCUUGAUGUGUAGGAUAGGUGGGAGGCUUUGAAGUGUGGACGCCAGUCUGCAUGGAGCCGACCUUGAAAUACCACCCUUUAAUGUUUGAUGUUCUAACGUUGGCCCGUAAUCCGGGUUGCGGACAGUGUCUGGUGGGUAGUUUGACUGGGGCGGUCUCCUCCUAAAGAGUAACGGAGGAGCACGAAGGUUGGCUAAUCCUGGUCGGACAUCAGGAGGUUAGUGCAAUGGCAUAAGCCAGCUUGACUGCGAGCGUGACGGCGCGAGCAGGUGCGAAAGCAGGUCAUAGUGAUCCGGUGGUUCUGAAUGGAAGGGCCAUCGCUCAACGGAUAAAAGGUACUCCGGGGAUAACAGGCUGAUACCGCCCAAGAGUUCAUAUCGACGGCGGUGUUUGGCACCUCGAUGUCGGCUCAUCACAUCCUGGGGCUGAAGUAGGUCCCAAGGGUAUGGCUGUUCGCCAUUUAAAGUGGUACGCGAGCUGGGUUUAGAACGUCGUGAGACAGUUCGGUCCCUAUCUGCCGUGGGCGCUGGAGAACUGAGGGGGGCUGCUCCUAGUACGAGAGGACCGGAGUGGACGCAUCACUGGUGUUCGGGUUGUCAUGCCAAUGGCACUGCCCGGUAGCUAAAUGCGGAAGAGAUAAGUGCUGAAAGCAUCUAAGCACGAAACUUGCCCCGAGAUGAGUUCUCCCUGACUCCUUGAGAGUCCUGAAGGAACGUUGAAGACGACGACGUUGAUAGGCCGGGUGUGUAAGCGCAGCGAUGCGUUGAGCUAACCGGUACUAAUGAACCGUGAGGCUUAACCUU
Molecule: ribosomal RNA, 2901 nt
Filed under: Escherichia coli
Lineage: Bacteria; Pseudomonadati; Pseudomonadota; Gammaproteobacteria; Enterobacterales; Enterobacteriaceae
Description: bacterial LSU rRNA
Rfam family: Bacterial large subunit ribosomal RNA
Source: RNAcentral